GAUGAACGCUGGCGGCGUGCCUAAUACAUGCAAGUCGAGCGAACGGACGAGAAGCUUGCUUCUCUGAUGUUAGCGGCGGACGGGUGAGUAACACGUGGAUAACCUACCUAUAAGACUGGGAUAACUUCGGGAAACCGGAGCUAAUACCGGAUAAUAUUUUGAACCGCAUGGUUCAAAAGUGAAAGACGGUCUUGCUGUCACUUAUAGAUGGAUCCGCGCUGCAUUAGCUAGUUGGUAAGGUAACGGCUUACCAAGGCAACGAUGCAUAGCCGACCUGAGAGGGUGAUCGGCCACACUGGAACUGAGACACGGUCCAGACUCCUACGGGAGGCAGCAGUAGGGAAUCUUCCGCAAUGGGCGAAAGCCUGACGGAGCAACGCCGCGUGAGUGAUGAAGGUCUUCGGAUCGUAAAACUCUGUUAUUAGGGAAGAACAUAUGUGUAAUUAACUGUGCACAUCUUGACGGUACCUAAUCAGAAAGCCACGGCUAACUACGUG
RNAcentral lists this ribosomal RNA (497 nucleotides) under uncultured bacterium. Its description in RNAcentral is "partial 16S ribosomal RNA". It matches the Rfam family "Bacterial small subunit ribosomal RNA", at positions 28 to 507 of the family's 1533-position model. The record is from RNAcentral.